RNAcentral lists this ribosomal RNA (269 nucleotides) under uncultured prokaryote. Its description in RNAcentral is "partial 16S ribosomal RNA". It matches the Rfam family "Bacterial small subunit ribosomal RNA", at positions 524 to 792 of the family's 1533-position model. The record is from RNAcentral.
UACGUAGGUGGCGAGCGUUAUCCGGAAUUAUUGGGCGUAAAGAGCGCGCAGGUGGUUGAUUAAGUCUGAUGUGAAAGCCCACGGCUUAACCGUGGAGGGUCAUUGGAAACUGGUCGACUUGAGUGCAGAAGAGGGAAAUGGAAUUCCAUGUGUAGCGGUGAAAUGCGUAGAGAUAUGGAGGAACACCAGUGGCGAAGGCGGCUUCCUGGUCUGUAACUGACACUGAGGCGCGAAAGCGUGGGGAGCAAACAGGAUUAGAUACCCCCGUA